Long non-coding RNA from Passer domesticus (house sparrow), 364 nucleotides. RefSeq lists it as uncharacterized. The transcript has 2 exons. Lineage: Eukaryota; Metazoa; Chordata; Aves; Passeriformes; Passeridae. The record is from RefSeq and is a predicted model, not a curated record.
UGCAACACCAUCACACAACUGGGAACAGUGAUGCAUAGGAGACUCAAAGACAAGGGGAUAGUGCUGCUGCUCAGCAUAGAAGACACCAGAGUCUCAGGGAUAACAGCAAAUUGAGGGGAAUGCCUCAGAAGGAAAAGAUCUCCUCACAGGAUGUCCAUAUGGAAGAGUCCUGGGCUUCUCAACAUAAAUGCAACCAAGAGCUUCUGCAGUACUGCAACCACGUUCUACAGAAAGGACCAAAACCUCCAUUCAAAGAAAAGAAUGAAAGGCUUUUGGGAAUAAUUUUUAGCCAGCACCUAGGAUGCUGCUGCUGGGAACUUGUGUUCUGCAGAACCAGGAUGAUUUAAGAAUGCUCAAAACUCCA